Schistosoma rodhaini is the source of this 46-nucleotide non-coding RNA. NCBI's taxonomy places the organism in Eukaryota, Metazoa, Platyhelminthes, Trematoda, Strigeidida, Schistosomatidae. The record is from Rfam.
CCACUGCUGAGGAGUUCCAUAAUUGGACGUAACGGCCGUCCAGUGC